Molecule: ribosomal RNA, 175 nt
Filed under: Escherichia coli
Lineage: Bacteria; Pseudomonadati; Pseudomonadota; Gammaproteobacteria; Enterobacterales; Enterobacteriaceae
Description: partial 23S ribosomal RNA
Rfam family: Bacterial large subunit ribosomal RNA
Source: RNAcentral
GGUUAAGCGACUAAGCGUACACGGUGGAUGCCCUGGCAGUCAGAGGCGAUGAAGGACGUGCUAAUCUGCGAUAAGCGUCGGUGAGGUGAUAUGAACCGUUAUAACCGGCGAUUUCCGAAUGGGGAAACCCAGUGUGUUUCGACACACUAUCAUUAACUGAAUCCAUAGGUUAAUG